Molecule: ribosomal RNA, 503 nt
Filed under: uncultured bacterium
Lineage: Bacteria
Description: partial 16S ribosomal RNA
Rfam family: Bacterial small subunit ribosomal RNA
Source: RNAcentral
ACUCAAAGGAAUUGACGGGGGCUCACACAAGCGGUGGAGGAUGUGGCUUAAUUCGAGGCUACGCGAAGAACCUUAUCCUAGUCUUGACAUGCUUAGGAAUCCUCCUGAAAGGGAGGAGUGCUCGCAAGAGAGCCUUUGCACAGGUGCUGCAUGGCUGUCGUCAGCUCGUGUCGUGAGAUGUCGCGUUAAGUCGCUUAACGAGCGAAACCCUUGUCGUUAGUUGCCAGCGCGUUAUGGCGGGGACUCUAACGAGACUGCCGGUGUUAAACCGGAGGAAGGUGGGGAUGACGUCAAGUCCUCAUGGCCUUUAUGAUUAGGGCUGCACACGUCCUACAAUGGACCACACAAAGGGAUGCCAACUCGUGAGAGGGAGCAAAUCCCAAAAAAUGGUCCCCAGUACGGAUUGCAGGCUGAAACCCGCCUGCAUGAAGCCGGAAUCGCUAGUAAUCGCGGGUCAGCAUACCGCGGUGAAUAUGUUCCUGAGCCUUGUACACACCGCCCGU